This 155-nucleotide ribosomal RNA is filed under the name uncultured bacterium. RNAcentral's name for it is "partial 16S ribosomal RNA". It matches the Rfam family "Bacterial small subunit ribosomal RNA", at positions 355 to 509 of the family's 1533-position model. The record is from RNAcentral.
UGGGGAAUAUUGCACAAUGGGCGCAAGCCUGAUGCAGCGACGCCGCGUGCGGGAUGGAGGCCUUCGGGUUGUAAACCGCUUUUGUUUCAAGGGCAAGGCAGGCUUUCGGGCCUGUUGAGUGGAUUGUUCGAAUAAGCACCGGCUAACUACGUGCC